GAUGAACGCUAGCUACAGGCUUAACACAUGCAAGUCGAGGGGCAGCAUGGUCUUAGCUUGCUAAGGCCGAUGGCGACCGGCGCACGGGUGAGUAACACGUAUCCAACCUGCCGUCUACUCUUGGACAGCCUUCUGAAAGGAAGAUUAAUACAAGAUGGCAUCAUGAGUUCACAUGUUCACAUGAUUAAAGGUAUUCCGGUAGACGAUGGGGAUGCGUUCCAUUAGAUAGUAGGCGGGGUAACGGCCCACCUAGUCUUCGAUGGAUAGGGGUUCUGAGAGGAAGGUCCCCCGCAAUGGAACUGAGACACGGUCCAAACUCCUACGGGAGGCAGCAGUGAGGAAUAUUAGUCAAUGGGCGAGAGCCUGAACCAGCCAAGUAGCGUGAAGGAUGACUGCCCUAUGGGUUGUAAACUUCUUUUAUAAAGGAAUAAAGUCGGGUAUGUAUACCCGUUUGCAUGUACUUUAUGAAUAAGGAUCGGCUAACUCCGUG
Molecule: ribosomal RNA, 490 nt
Filed under: uncultured bacterium
Lineage: Bacteria
Description: partial 16S ribosomal RNA
Rfam family: Bacterial small subunit ribosomal RNA
Source: RNAcentral